UACGGAAGGCAGCAGUGGGGAAUAUUGCACAAUGGGCGCAAGCCUGAUGCAGCCAUGCCGCGUGUAUGAAGAAGGCCUUCGGGUUGUAAAGUACUUUCAGUCGUGAGGAAGGUGUUAAGGUUAAUAACCUUAGCAAUUGACGUUAGCGACAGAAGAAGCACCGGCUAACUCCGUGCCAGCAGCCGCGGUAAUACGGAGGGUGCGAGCGUUAAUCGGGAUUACUGGGCGUAAAGGGCACGCAGGCGGUUAAUUAAGUUGGAUGUGAAAUCCCCGGGCUUAACCUGGGAAUGGCAUUCAAGACUGGUUAGCUAGAGUCUUGUAGAGGGGGUAGAAUUCCAUGUGUAGCGGUGAAAUGCGUAGAGAUGUGGAGGAAUACCGGUGGCGAAGGCGGCCCCUGGACAAAGACUGACGCUCAUGGUGCGAAAGCGUGGGGAGCAAACAGGGAUUAGAUACC
Molecule: ribosomal RNA, 454 nt
Filed under: uncultured bacterium
Lineage: Bacteria
Description: bacterial SSU rRNA
Rfam family: Bacterial small subunit ribosomal RNA
Source: RNAcentral